Molecule: ribosomal RNA, 614 nt
Filed under: uncultured Bacteroidota bacterium
Lineage: Bacteria; Pseudomonadati; Bacteroidota
Description: bacterial SSU rRNA
Rfam family: Bacterial small subunit ribosomal RNA
Source: RNAcentral
GACAAUGGAGGCAACUCUGAUCCAGCCAUGCCGCGUGCAGGAAGACUGCCCUAUGGGUUGUAAACUGCUUUUAUACAGGAAGAAACACCUCUACGUGUAGAGGCUUGACGGUACUGUAAGAAUAAGGAUCGGCUAACUCCGUGCCAGCAGCCGCGGUAAUACGGAGGAUCCAAGCGUUAUCCGGAAUCAUUGGGUUUAAAGGGUCCGUAGGUGGAUAAUUAAGUCAGAGGUGAAAUCUUGCAGCUCAACUGUAAAAUUGCCUUUGAAACUGGUUAUCUUGAGUUAUUAUGAAGUAGUUAGAAUAUGUAGUGUAGCGGUGAAAUGCAUAGAUAUUACAUAGAAUACCAAUUGCGAAGGCAGAUUACUAAUAAUCAACUGACACUGAUGGACGAAAGCGUGGGUAGCGAACAGGAUUAGAUACCCUGGUAGUCCACGCCGUAAACGAUGGAUACUAGCUGUUCGACCAACAUUGGUUGGUUGAGUGGCUAAGCGAAAGUGAUAAGUAUCCCACCUGGGGAGUACGGUCGCAAGACUGAAACUCAAAGGAAUUGACGGGGGCCCGCACAAGCGGUGGAGCAUGUGGUUUAAUUCGAUGAUACGCGAGGAACCUUACC